GUGCCAGCAGCCGCGGUAAUUCCAGCUCCAAUGGCGUAUAUUAAAGUUGUUGCAGUUAAAAAGCUCGUAGUUGAAACUUGGGUCUGGCUGGCAGGUCCGCCUCACCGCGUGUACUUGUCCGGCCGGGCCUUCCUUCUGGAGAACCUCAUGCCCUUCACUGGGCGUGUUGGGGACCAGGACUUUUACUUUGAAAAAAUUAGAGUGUUCAAAGCAGGCCUUUGCUCGAAUACGUUAGCAUGGAAUAAUAGAAUAGGACGUGCGGUCCUAUUUUGUUGGUUUCUAGGACCGCCGUAAUGAUUAAUAGGGACAGUCGGGGGCAUCAGUAUUCAAUUGUCAGAGGUGAAAUUCUUGGAUUUAUUGAAGACUAACUACUGCGAAAGCAUUUGCCAAGGAUGUUUUCAUUAAUCAGUGAACGAAAGUUAGGGGAUCGAAGACGAUCAGAUACCGUCGUAGUCUUAACCGUAAACUAUGCCGACUAGGGAUCGGGCGAUGUUCUUUUUCUGACUCGCUCGGCACCUUACGAGAAAUCAAAGUUUUUGGGUUCUGGGGGGAGUAUGGUCGCAAGGCUGAAACUUAAAGAAAUUGACGGAAGGGCACCACCAGGCGUGAGCCUGCGGCUUAUUUGACUCACACGGGGAAACUCCACCAGGUCCAGAUGAAAUAGAUUGACAGAUUGAGAGCUCUUUUCUUGAUUUUCAGUGGUGUGCAUGACGUUCUUAGUGGUGGGAGUGGAUUUGUCUGCUAUGCGAUAACGACGAAGACUACCUGCUAUAGCAAGCUAGCUUUGCUGUCCGCCGCUCUCUUAAGGGACUAUCCGCUCCAGCCGUGAGUUUAGAGCUAAUAUACACGGGCUCUUGUAUAUGC
This 864-nucleotide ribosomal RNA is filed under the name uncultured fungus. Its description in RNAcentral is "SSU rRNA". It matches the Rfam family "Eukaryotic small subunit ribosomal RNA", at positions 564 to 1407 of the family's 1831-position model. Lineage: Eukaryota; Fungi. The record is from RNAcentral.